GACGAACGCUGGCGGCGUGCUUAACACAUGCAAGUCGAACGGAAAGGCCCUGCUUUUGUGGGGUGCUCGAGUGGCGAACGGGUGAGUAACACGUGAGUAACCUGCCCUUGACUUUGGGAUAACUUCAGGAAACUGGGGCUAAUACCGGAUAGGAGCUCCUGCUGCAUGGUGGGGGUUGGAAAGUUUCGGCGGCUGGGGAUGGACUCGCGGCUUAUCAGCUUGUUGGUGGGGUAGUGGCUUACCAAGGCUUUGACGGGUAGCCGGCCUGAGAGGGUGACCGGCCACAUUGGGACUGAGAUACGGCCCAGACUCCUACGGGAGGCAGCAGUGGGGAAUAUUGCACAAUGGGCGGAAGCCUGAUGCAGCAACGCCGCGUGCGGGAUGACGGCCUUCGGGUUGUAAACCGCUUUCGCCUGUGACGAAGCGUGAGUGACGGUAAUGGGUAAAGAAGCACCGGCUAACUACGUGCCAGCAGCCGCGGUGAUACGUAGGGUGCGAGCGUUGUCCGGAUUUAUUGGGCGUAAAGGGCUCGUAGGUGGUUGAUCGCGUCGGAAGUGUAAUCUUGGGGCUUAACCCUGAGCGUGCUUUCGAUACGAGUUGACUUGAGGAAGGUAGGGGAGAAUGGAAUUCCUGGUGGAGCGGUGGAAUGCGCAGAUAUCAGGAGGAACACCAGUGGCGAAGGCGGUUCUCUGGGCCUUUCCUGACGCUGAGGAGCGAAAGCGUGGGGAGCGAACAGGCUUAGAUACCCUGGUAGUCCACGCUGUAAACGGUGGGUACUAGGUGUGGGGUCCAUUCCACGGGUUCCGUGCCGUAGCUAACGCUUUAAGUACCCCGCCUGGGGAGUACGGCCGCAAGGCUAAAACUCAAAGGAAUUGACGGGGCCCCGCACAAGCGGCGGAGCAUGCGGAUUAAUUCGAUGCAACGCGUAGAACCUUACCUGGGUUUGACAUGGAUCGGGAGUGCUCAGAGAUGGGUGUGCCUCUUUUGGGGUCGGUUCACAGGUGGUGCAUGGCUGUCGUCAGCUCGUGUCGUGAGAUGUUGGGUUAAGUCCCGCAACGAGCGCAACCCUUGUUCACUGUUGCCAGCACGUUAUGGUGGGGACUCAGUGGAGACCGCCGGGGUCAACUCGGAGGAAGGUGGGGAUGACGUCAAGUCAUCAUGCCCCUUAUGUCCAGGGCUUCACGCAUGCUACAAUGGCUGGUACAGAGAGUGGCGAGCCUGUGAGGGUGAGCGAAUCUCGGAAAGCCGGUCUCAGUUCGGAUUGGGGUCUGCAACUCGACCUCAUGAAGUCGGAGUCGCUAGUAAUCGCAGAUCAGCAACGCUGCGGUGAAUACGUUCCCGGGGCU
RNAcentral lists this ribosomal RNA (1346 nucleotides) under uncultured bacterium. RNAcentral describes it as "partial 16S ribosomal RNA". It matches the Rfam family "Bacterial small subunit ribosomal RNA", at positions 28 to 1381 of the family's 1533-position model. The record is from RNAcentral.